AUGGACAAGAUCUCGAGAGCAUCAUUUUUAAUUCUAGGACUUCACCUGGCAUGGGUGAGCAGCCAACAGAAGGAGAAAAGUGGCCAGCAGCAGGUGAAGCAAAGUCCUUGGUCUCUGACUGUCCAGGAAGGAGAGAUUUCAAUUCUGAACUGUACGUAUGAAGACAGUUCAUUUUACUACUUCCCCUGGUACCGGCAAUUCCCUGGAAAAGGUCCUGAAUUACUGAUAGACAUACAUGAAAAUGUGAAUAAAAAGAAUGACAGAAGAUUCACAGUCUACUUCAGUAAAGGUGCCAAAGAGCUCUCCCUACAUAUCAGGAAGACCCAGCCUGGAGACUCAGCCACCUACUUCUGUGCAGCGAGCACACAGUGCUCUCCAGGCACCUGCAGCCUGUGCCCAAAUUGCAUGUGGGGCUCCUGA
Fukomys damarensis (Damara mole-rat) is the source of this 420-nucleotide non-coding RNA. Lineage: Eukaryota; Metazoa; Chordata; Mammalia; Rodentia; Bathyergidae. The record is from the annotation of a RefSeq genome assembly.